Molecule: ribosomal RNA, 253 nt
Filed under: uncultured bacterium
Lineage: Bacteria
Description: partial 16S ribosomal RNA
Rfam family: Bacterial small subunit ribosomal RNA
Source: RNAcentral
UACGUAGGGUGCAAGCGUUAAUCGGAAUUACUGGGCGUAAAACGUGCGCAGGCGGUUUUGUAAGUCUGAUGUGAAAUCCCCGGGCUCAACCUGGGAAUUGCAUUGGAGACUGCAAGGCUAGAAUCUGGCAGAGGGGGGUAGAAUUCCACGUGUAGCAGUGAGAUGCGUAGAGAUGUGGAGGAACACCGAUGGCGAAGGCAGCCCCCUGGGUCAAGAUUGACGCUCAUGCACGAAAGCGUGGGGAGCAAACAGG